RNAcentral lists this ribosomal RNA (271 nucleotides) under uncultured bacterium. RNAcentral describes it as "partial 16S ribosomal RNA". It matches the Rfam family "Archaeal small subunit ribosomal RNA", at positions 474 to 747 of the family's 1478-position model. The record is from RNAcentral.
UACCAGCACCCCGAGUGGUCGGGACGAUUAUUGGGCCUAAAGCAUCCGUAGCCGGUUCUACAAGUCUUCCGUUAAAUCCAACUGCUUAACAGUUGGGCUGCGGAGGAUACUAUAGAGCUAGGAGGCGGGAGAGGCAAGCGGUACUUAGUGGGUAGGGGUAAAAUCCGUUGAUCCACUGAAGACCACCAGUGGCGAAGGCGGCUUGCCAGAACGCGCUCGACGGUGAGGGAUGAAAGCUGGGGGAGCAAACCGGAUUAGAAACCCGUAGUCC